CAUGGGCACUUGGCAAACAUGCCACCACCCUCCAUGCUUUUCCUCUGCCAAAAACCUGUCACCAAUCCAUCUUCUUAGCUUCUUCAAGUCAAAAAUCAGAAUGUUUACUUCAAAUUUCUUCCUCCCAACCACUGAUUUAGUGUUCUUAAUCUCCCUAUAAACGGCCAUGAAAUCCAUCACCAAGAACACAACAAUUCAACAAUUCUUAUGCUCUCAUCUCUCACCUCACCACCACCUAUGAACUAACCAGAAUUUUCAUUCACAAUUCGCCGGAAAAUGUUACAAAAAGGAAUCCAAAAAGAAAACCCAUUUUCCUUCCCUCUCUAUCCUCUAUUUCGGGGUUCAAACACCACCACCAGCGGCUGCCACCGGCUUGCGGAUGCCAGGCCAGAUGCCUGCCACCUCGCGCGUCACCCGCCGGUGCACCUGCAACUCGCGUCUUCUCCCUCUUCAUCGUACUCUCCUCCUUUCUCGCUCCUCUUCGUCACGUCACGCCCAGCUGUACGCACCAGCCAAGUCGCCACGCGUCGUCCCGCCACCGCGUCGCGCUGCUCGUCGCCGAUGUUCGCCUGAGCAGUCCUCCCGCCGCAGCAUUGUCGUCCCUGCUCCUAGUAGCAGAGGUAUGGAAGAACAGUUGUGGAUCACUAUUAUACUGCAUUAUGGAGAUUAUGUACGAUUCUAUGAGGUUUUAGGAUAUUUUGUAUGAUGGAUAAACAAGUAUUAUUUUAUGACGAGUAAUUGUAUA
Beta vulgaris subsp. vulgaris (sugar beet) is the source of this 745-nucleotide long non-coding RNA. RefSeq lists it as uncharacterized. The record is from RefSeq and is a predicted model, not a curated record. NCBI's taxonomy places the organism in Eukaryota, Viridiplantae, Streptophyta, Magnoliopsida, Caryophyllales, Amaranthaceae. The transcript has 2 exons.